UACGUAGGUGGCAAGCGUUAUCCGGAAUUAUUGGGCGUAAAGAGCGCGCAGGUGGUUUAUUAAGUCUGGUGUAAAAGGCAGUGGCUCAACCAUUGUAUGCAUUGGAAACUGGUAGACUUGAGUGCAGGAGAGGAGAGUGGAAUUCCAUGUGUAGCGGUGAAAUGCGUAGAUAUAUGGAGGAACACCGGUGGCGAAAGCGGCUCUCUGGCCUGUAACUGACGGUGAGGCGCGAAAGCGUGGGGAUCGAACAGG
This 252-nucleotide ribosomal RNA is filed under the name uncultured bacterium. RNAcentral's name for it is "partial 16S ribosomal RNA". It matches the Rfam family "Bacterial small subunit ribosomal RNA", at positions 524 to 776 of the family's 1533-position model. The record is from RNAcentral.